Molecule: ribosomal RNA, 253 nt
Filed under: uncultured bacterium
Lineage: Bacteria
Description: partial 16S ribosomal RNA
Rfam family: Bacterial small subunit ribosomal RNA
Source: RNAcentral
UACGGAGGGUGCAAGCGUUAUCCGGAUUCACUGGGUUUAAAGGGUGCGUAGGUGGGCUUGUAAGUCAGUGGUGAAAUCUCCGUGCUUAACAUGGAAACUGCCAUUGAUACUAUGGGUCUUGAAUUAUCUGGAGGUUAGCGGAAUAUGUCAUGUAGCGGUGAAAUGCUUAGAUAUGACAUAGAACACCAAUUGCGAAGGCAGCUGGCUACAGGUACGUUGACACUGAGGCACGAAAGCGUGGGGAUCAAACAGG